GAUCCUGGCUCAGAAUCAACGCUGGCGGCGUGCCUAACACAUGCAAGUCGCACGAGAAAGCGGGCUUCGGCCUGCAAGUAAAGUGGCGCACGGGUGAGUAACACGUGAAUGAUCUACCUCCGAGUGGGGAAUAACCUAGAGAAAUCUGGGCUAAUACCGCAUAACACUUACGAGUCAAAGCAGCAAUGCGCUUGGAGAGGAGUUCGCGGCAGAUUAGUUAGUUGGCAGGGUAAUGGCCUACCAAGACGAUGAUCUGUAUCCGGCCUGAGAGGGCGCACGGACACACUGGAACUGAAACACGGUCCAGACUCCUACGGGAGGCAGCAGUGGGGAAUUUUGCGCAAUGGGGGAAACCCUGACGCAGCAACGCCGCGUGGAGGAUGAAAUCCCUUGGGAUGUAAACUCCUUUCGAUCGGGACGAUUAUGACGGUACCGGAAGAAGAAGCCCCGGCUAACUUCGUGCCAGCAGCCGCGGUAAUACGAGGGGGGCAAGCGUUGUUCGGAAUUAUUGGGCGUAAAGGGCGCGUAGGCGGUUUGACAAGUCUGAUGUGAAAUCUCUGGGCUCAACCCAGAGUCUGCAUUAGAAACUGUCGGGCUUGAGUAUGGGAGAGGUGAGUGGAAUUUCCGGUGUAGCGGUGGAAUGCGUAGAUAUCGGAAGGAACACCUGUGGCGAAAGCGGCUCACUGGACC
This 690-nucleotide ribosomal RNA is filed under the name uncultured Acidobacteriota bacterium. RNAcentral describes it as "bacterial SSU rRNA". It matches the Rfam family "Bacterial small subunit ribosomal RNA", at positions 15 to 735 of the family's 1533-position model. The record is from RNAcentral. Lineage: Bacteria; Pseudomonadati; Acidobacteriota.